Molecule: ribosomal RNA, 472 nt
Filed under: Alternaria sp. MBL_104
Lineage: Eukaryota; Fungi; Ascomycota; Dothideomycetes; Pleosporales; Pleosporaceae
Description: bacterial SSU rRNA
Rfam family: Eukaryotic small subunit ribosomal RNA (bases 1-417)
Source: RNAcentral
UGAUCACCCGGGAACUCCCAGGCCAGAAAAAAAGGAUGACAGAUGAGAGUUUUUUGUUUUCAGUGGUGGGCAGGCCGUCUUAGUCGGGGGGACUGUCUGCUUAAUGCGAAACGAGCGAGACCUUACUCUGCUAAAUAGCCAGGCUAGCUUUGGCUGGUCGCCGGCUUCUUAGAGAGACUAUCAACUCAAGUUGAUGGAAGUUUGAGGCAUAACAGGUCUGUGAUGCCCUUAGAUGUUCUGGGCCGCACGCGCGCUACACUGACAGAGCCAACGAGUUCUUUUCCUUGUUCGAAAGAAUUGGGUAAUCUUGUUAAACUCUGUCGUGCUGGGGAUAAAGCAUUGCAAUUAUUGCUUUUCAACGAGGAAUGCCUAGUAAGCGCGUGUCAUCAGCAUGCGUUGAUUACGUCCCUGACCUUUCUCUCUCUUUCUCCCAUCGCUACUACCGGAUUAAAAUGGGUCAUUCGGAGAUGCA